This 220-nucleotide unclassified non-coding RNA is filed under the name uncultured fungus. RNAcentral describes it as "sequence contains ITS1". The record is from RNAcentral. Lineage: Eukaryota; Fungi.
GUGAAUUUGUUUUGUGGUUGGGUAUCUUGCUAAAUUUUUUACAAGUUAUCCACCCAAACACCCCCACUAUUAUCACGCCGGCUAGGGGGGAGAGAAAUCUCCUUUUGGUCGAGAGCUUAGUAAGCUCGGAAAUUUGGGAGGUUAGGGAACUCUGUUCUAUAACCUUCCUUUUUUAGAACCAUAUAGUCAUGUAUGUUAAGUAGUAUUCUUAAAACAAAUA